Molecule: ribosomal RNA, 21 nt
Filed under: Pisolithus microcarpus
Lineage: Eukaryota; Fungi; Basidiomycota; Agaricomycetes; Boletales; Pisolithaceae
Description: partial 18S ribosomal RNA
Source: RNAcentral
CACCUCUGUGCACCCCGUUCG